Molecule: ribosomal RNA, 497 nt
Filed under: uncultured bacterium
Lineage: Bacteria
Description: partial 16S ribosomal RNA
Rfam family: Bacterial small subunit ribosomal RNA
Source: RNAcentral
GACGAACGCUGGCGGCGUGCCUAAUACAUGCAAGUUGAGCGAUGAAGAUUGGUGCUUGCACCAAUUUGAAGAGCAGCGAACGAGUGAGUAACGCGUGGGGAAUCUGCCUUUGAGCGGGGGACAACAUUUGGAAACGAAUGCUAAUACCGCAUAACAACUUUAAACAUAAGUUUUAAGUUUGAAAGAUGCAAUUGCAUCACUCAAAGAUGAUCCCGCGUUGUAUUAGCUAGUUGGUGAGGUAAAGGCUCACCAAGGCGAUGAUACAUAGCCGACCUGAGAGGGUGAUCGGCCACAUUGGGACUGAGACACGGCCCAAACUCCUACGGGAGGCAGCAGUAGGGAAUCUUCGGCAAUGGACGAAAGUCUGACCGAGCAACGCCGCGUGAGUGAAGAAGGUUUUCGGAUCGUAAAACUCUGUUGGUAGAGAAGAACGUUGGUGAGAGUGGAAAGCUCAUCAAGUGACGGUAACUACCCAGAAAGGGACGGCUAACUACGUG